RNAcentral lists this ribosomal RNA (207 nucleotides) under Eubacterium callanderi. RNAcentral describes it as "16S rRNA. Bacterial SSU". It matches the Rfam family "Bacterial small subunit ribosomal RNA", at positions 1 to 188 of the family's 1533-position model. The record is from RNAcentral. Lineage: Bacteria; Bacillati; Bacillota; Clostridia; Eubacteriales; Eubacteriaceae.
UUUUUAUUGAGAGUUUGAUCCUGGCUCAGGACGAACGCUGGCGGUAUGCUUAACACAUGCAAGUCGAACGAGAAGGUUUUGAAUGAUCCUUCGGGUGAAAUUAGAACUGGAAAGUGGCGAACGGGUGAGUAACGCGUGGGUAACCUGCCCUAUGGAAAGGAAUAGCCUCGGGAAACUGGGAGUAAAGCCUUAUAUUAUGGUUUUGUC